Budorcas taxicolor (takin) is the source of this 453-nucleotide non-coding RNA. The record is from the annotation of a RefSeq genome assembly. Lineage: Eukaryota; Metazoa; Chordata; Mammalia; Artiodactyla; Bovidae.
AUGUGCUCUAGGUUCCUCUGCUGUGUGACUCUCUUCCUCCUGGGAGCAGGCCUGCUGGAGUCUGAAGUCACCCAGACCCCCAAAUACCUGAUCAAAUCGAGAAAGGAGCAAGUGACUCUGAGAUGUUCCCCUAAAUCUGGACACCGCUCCGUGUACUGGUAUCAGCAGGCCCUGGGCCAGGGCCCCCAGUUCCUUGUUCAGUAUUAUGAUGGGAAAGUGUAUCAAAAAGAAAACAUAUCAGAUCGAUUCUCAGGAAAACAAUUCAGUGACGCUCGCUCUGAGCUGAGCUUGACCCCCUUGGAGCUGACAGACUCAGCCGUGUAUCUCCGUGGCAGCAGCCAAGACACAGCCCUGCAUGAUCAGGUGCCUCUGGAACAAAAACACUCCUGCCCCAGCUCAGGAAGUGGUGCCCAGCGUGUCAGCUGCCAGCCUGCCAAGCCCAGUCUCUGGUAG